UACAACUUUCAGCAACGGAUCCCUUGGCUCUCGCAUCGAUGAAGAACGCAGCGAAAUGCGAUAAGUAAUGUGAMUYGCAGAAUUCAGUGAAUCAUCGAAUCUUUSAMCSCACCUUGCGCUCCUUGGUAUUCCGAGGAGCAUGCCUGUUUGAGUGUCAUU
This 159-nucleotide ribosomal RNA is filed under the name uncultured Cortinarius. Its description in RNAcentral is "5.8S ribosomal RNA". It matches the Rfam family "5.8S ribosomal RNA". Rfam says of the family: 5.8S ribosomal RNA (5.8S rRNA) is a component of the large subunit of the eukaryotic ribosome. It is transcribed by RNA polymerase I as part of the 45S precursor that also contains 18S and 28S rRNA. The record is from RNAcentral. Lineage: Eukaryota; Fungi; Basidiomycota; Agaricomycetes; Agaricales; Cortinariaceae.